GGCUGGUUAGCUCAGUUGGUUGGAGCGUGGUGCUGAUAACACCAAUGUUGCGGGUUCGAUCCCUGUUCGGUCC
Molecule: transfer RNA, 73 nt
Filed under: Apaloderma vittatum (bar-tailed trogon)
Lineage: Eukaryota; Metazoa; Chordata; Aves; Trogoniformes; Trogonidae
Rfam family: tRNA
About the family: Transfer RNA (tRNA) molecules are approximately 80 nucleotides in length. Their secondary structure includes four short double-helical elements and three loops (D, anti-codon, and T loops).
Source: Rfam by way of RNAcentral